GCCUUCGUGGUGUAAUGGUCUGCAUGCCCGACGAGUAACCGAGAGGUCCGUGGUUCGAUUCCCGGUGAAGGCG
This is a non-coding RNA of Stegodyphus mimosarum, 73 nucleotides long. Lineage: Eukaryota; Metazoa; Arthropoda; Arachnida; Araneae; Eresidae. The record is from Rfam.